RNAcentral lists this ribosomal RNA (465 nucleotides) under uncultured bacterium. RNAcentral's name for it is "partial 16S ribosomal RNA". It matches the Rfam family "Bacterial small subunit ribosomal RNA", at positions 28 to 507 of the family's 1533-position model. The record is from RNAcentral.
GACGAACGCUGGCGGCGUGCUUAACACAUGCAAGUCGAACGGAAAGGCCCCUUUGGGGGUACUCGAGUGGCGAACGGGUGAGUAACACGUGAGUAACCUGCCCUUGACUUCGGGAUAACUUCAGGAAACUGGGGCUAAUACCGGAUAGGAAUCCUUGCUGCAUGGUGGGGGUUGGAAAGCUUCGGCGGUUUUGGAUGGACUCGCGGCUUAUCAGCUUGUUGGUGGGGUAGUGGCUUACCAAGGCUUUGACGGGUAGCCGGCCUGAGAGGGCGACCGGCCACAUUGGGACUGAGAUGCGGCCCAGACUCCUACGGGAGGCAGCAGUGGGGAAUAUUGCACAAUGGGCGGAAGCCUGAUGCAGCAACGCCGCGUGCGGGAUGACGGCCUUCGGGUUGUAAACCGCUUUCAGCAGGGGCGAAGCUUGUGGUGACGGUACCUGCAGAAGAAGCACCGGCUAACUACGUG